This is a long non-coding RNA of Dermacentor silvarum, 1405 nucleotides long. RefSeq lists it as uncharacterized. Lineage: Eukaryota; Metazoa; Arthropoda; Arachnida; Ixodida; Ixodidae. The record is from RefSeq and is a predicted model, not a curated record. The transcript is spliced from 2 exons.
UAGCAACUGGUUUCAGUUUAGAUCCAAAUGAAAUUGUAACCAGAAGUUUAACUGAAAGCAAGUAACAUGCAGUGCUUGCUAAGACAGCAGCAGCUAGUCCUACUUAUACUGAGCAAUUAAGUUUAGCUGUUUGAGCAACCCUAGCAAACAUUCUAAUAGAAGUUUGUAUUAAUUAGUCUAAUACAGUUUUGUAUUAGACCAAUAGAAAUUUCUAUUAGUCGUACUGAUUUAUCUAUAAGACCAAUAGGCCGUGUGUAUUAGACUUAUUAGUCUUAUACAAGCAGUGUUGCGUGUCUGCUAGUUUCUCUAAUAGACUAAUAGGUCCUAUAUUAUGCAGAUGGUUGCUGGUCUGAUACAACAUGUACUGCUGGAUUCCGCAGCUCUUGUUUGCUGGUGAAAGUUAAUUGACAAAAAAUUAGACCAGCGGACCGCUUGCUUGCAUGGAAAGGUGUUUCUAAUUAAUCACUGAAUAAUUAAAGAUGCUGCUGUACAAUUGUGCAGCAGAUUGCGUUCGCACGUUUGCAUUAGUUUCAGCGUCAUCUCAGCGACAUACACAAAAGCGACGUGCAUCUACAUGGUCUUGGCAAUUUUACUUCAGUGAGCCUCGUCCCGAUGAGUCGUUGAGGAAACAGCUAGUGUUUACAGCACAGCGAAUACUUCCCCGCGAAAAAAAAAAAAAAAAAAAACCCGAACAACCAGCCGUCAGAUCGCGGUGCCCAGUCAGCUUACGAACAACGGUGCAAUAGCAGCAACCAUAUUUGUUUGCCGCUGAAGUUUUGUCAGUGUCGUAUUUUCUGUUGAAGCGCGCAUAAACUAAAUGGUAAACCUUGAAUCUAAAUUGCUAACUUGAUACCGCAUAUAAAAGGCCGUAAUAUUUAUUGACAUCAAAGAGCAGUAUCGCAGAGAAGGGAACACGGCGGGCAGGAAGGACAUAAAACUGCUACCGUAAUCAGCCGUAGUUGCGGACAGCACGUGUGUAAUGGCGGCUGCCAUGUCUAGGCGAGGCGUCACGCGAGGCGUGCGUGCGUGCGUGUUAGUGAAUGAACGAUGUGUUUUUAAGGAACCUGUGGUGUUAGCGCCUGCGCAAUCUGAUUCGUGCAGUAGUAUAUUUGGAUAGUUUUAUCUAUGGCUGCUGUUUUGACUUCAAAACAACGCAAGGCAACUGUUUUACCCCUGUCCUUCACGGCUUUGUGGAUCUAUCAGCGUGCAUCGAUGUGCAGUGUUUUCCCCGGCGCCAAUUUACCAUUUCGAGGUUUUUUAAACCACUUCCAAAAAAGGACGUCCUUUGGUCGAAGUCAACGAAAAGCAAGAUUCUGACAAAUCAAGAUUGCUGACCUGACGAAGAUCUCGAAAGAGGAAUUUGUAAAAAUACAUGCUGUGCUAAUAAAUGCUUUUAGCAAUUUUA